GAUGAACGCUGGCGGCAUGCCUAACACAUGCAAGUCGAACGGUAAGGCUCUUCGGAGUACACGAGAGGCGGACGGCUGAGUAACGCGUAGGAACACACCCUGCAGUGAGGGAUAAGACACCGAAAGGUGUUCUAAUACCGCAUACGGUCUUCGGAUUAAAGCAUUUAUGCGCUGAAGGAGUGGCCUGCGUCAUAUUAGAUAGUUGGUGAGGUAAUGGCUCACCAAGUCGAUGAUGUGUAGCUGGUCUGAGAGGAUGAUCAGCCAGACUGGAACUGAGACACGGUCCAGACUCCUACGGGAGGCAGCAGUGAGGAAUAUUUCACAAUGAGCGAAAGCUUGAUGGCGCAAUGCCGCGUGCAGGAUGAAGGCCCUCGGGUUGUAAACUGCUUUUAUAAGAGAAGAUUAUGACGGUAACUUAUGAAUAAGGGACGGCUAACUACGUG
RNAcentral lists this ribosomal RNA (443 nucleotides) under uncultured bacterium. RNAcentral's name for it is "partial 16S ribosomal RNA". It matches the Rfam family "Bacterial small subunit ribosomal RNA", at positions 28 to 507 of the family's 1533-position model. The record is from RNAcentral.